Gossypium raimondii (Peruvian cotton) is the source of this 760-nucleotide long non-coding RNA. RefSeq lists it as uncharacterized. The transcript has 3 exons. The record is from RefSeq and is a predicted model, not a curated record. NCBI's taxonomy places the organism in Eukaryota, Viridiplantae, Streptophyta, Magnoliopsida, Malvales, Malvaceae.
AAUUGAUUAACUUCACGUUUGGUUGAGGGGAAUGGAAUAGCUAUUCCCUCUUUAUUCUUGGAUGAAUAGUGGGGUUGUAGUUUGGUUUACUGUUCUCUUCAUUCAGCCGAAUUACUAGUCCUUUCCCAUUCUUCUGAUUUACCGAAUCAUCAUUCAGUGAAGGGGGCUAAAAAUAGCCCAUUCAACAACAUAUGUAAUAGCAAAAUUUUGUCCCAGGCAAUUUUACCCUGUAUAUGUUCACUCGUCGAUUCUGUCGUAACAGUGGUGUCUCCCCAGAUUUCGUGGUUGAGAAUCAUCGAUUUAUCUCCAACUCGUUCACCCAAUUCCCAUCUCUCUUCUGGUUGGACUUUUUGCUCUGUGCUAGAACGCUCCUUCCUGGUCUGCCUCAAAUCUACCACACCGCUAAGGUUUUUAGUUUGCCGUGAAAAUACAUCUUCAAUGUUCAAGAUCCAGGGACACACAUGGUAAUGGAGGCUUUUGAAUCGUUGGGUUAGUGUGGUGAGAAUGAUGAAGCGAAACAAAUGGUGGUGGUGAUUUUAGGGUAAUGAUCAAGUAAUAAUGGUGCGGUGAAGAUCAGAGGAAGUGGUAGAGCUUGGGAGCAGGCUAUGGUAUAAGUAAAUCCUGAAGUUCCGAAGUGUGAUCCAGCAUCCAACCAGUGAUCCUCGACUCAACAAUGUUUGUAGUCUCAUUUUGUUAAAUAUAUGACAUGUACCUAAGUUGAAUCGGUUUUUACAUAAUGUGUGAUCAUGUUCGUUUUUAA